Molecule: ribosomal RNA, 253 nt
Filed under: uncultured bacterium
Lineage: Bacteria
Description: partial 16S ribosomal RNA
Rfam family: Bacterial small subunit ribosomal RNA
Source: RNAcentral
UACGAAGGGGGCUAGCGUUGUUCGGAUUUACUGGGCGUAAAGCGCACGUAGGCGGAUUGUUAAGUCGGGGGUGAAAUCCUGGAGCUCAACUCCAGAACUGCCUUUGAUACUGGCGACCUUGAGUUCGGGAGAGGUGAGUGGAACUGCGAGUGUAGAGGUGAAAUUCGUAGAUAUUCGCAAGAACACCAGUGGCGAAGGCGGCUCACUGGCCCGAUACUGACGCUGAGGUGCGAAAGCGUGGGGAGCAAACAGG